This is a long non-coding RNA of Eptesicus fuscus (big brown bat), 341 nucleotides long. RefSeq lists it as uncharacterized. The record is from RefSeq and is a predicted model, not a curated record. The transcript has 3 exons. NCBI's taxonomy places the organism in Eukaryota, Metazoa, Chordata, Mammalia, Chiroptera, Vespertilionidae.
CAGAAGUAGACAUGGCACCUGCUCUAACGGAGAUGACCCUCCAGUGGAGAGACUUCCACAAACAAAAGAAAAAGUCUCUGAGCUGUCAGUUUCCUAUUACCCCCUGCAUGCCGUCUCGCCGGCACCCAGGGUUCAAAGUGGCACCACGCACCAGCUUCAAGGUGGCGUCUCCGCUGUUGCAGCAGAUGGAACACGUGUCCAAUCACACGCCUGCCCCCGUCGCCCUCCCGGUGAUUUCAGCCUGAACGGACAGGAAAAUUGAUACCAGGGACUUGCCGGGCUGAAAGCGACCAGCGGGCUUCAGGCAACCAAGGACCCGGUUGCAGCGGUGUGGCAACAAU